This 880-nucleotide ribosomal RNA is filed under the name uncultured bacterium. Its description in RNAcentral is "bacterial SSU rRNA". It matches the Rfam family "Bacterial small subunit ribosomal RNA", at positions 9 to 896 of the family's 1533-position model. The record is from RNAcentral.
GAGUUUGAUCAUGGCUCAGAUUGAACGCUGGCGGCAGGCCUAACACAUGCAAGUCGAGCGGGGACUUCGGUCCUAGCGGCGAACGGGUGAGGAAUGCUUGGGAAUCUGCCUGGUAGUGGGGGAUAACGUUCCGAAAGGAACGCUAAUACCGCAUACGUCCUACGGGAGAAAGGGGGGGAUCUUCGGACCUCUCGCUAUCAGAUGAGCCCAAGCCGGAUUAGCUAGUUGGUGGGGUAAUGGCCCACCAAGGCGACGAUCCGUAGCUGGUCUGAGAGGAUGAUCAGCCACACUGGAACUGAGACACGGUCCAGACUCCUACGGGAGGCAGCAGUGGGGAAUAUUGGACAAUGGGCGAAAGCCUGAUCCAGCCAUGCCGCGUGUGUGAAGAAGGCCUUCGGGUUGUAAAGCACUUUAAGCGGGGAGGAAGGUUCGCUACUUAAUACGUAGCGGAAUUGACGUUACCCGCAGAAUAAGCACCGGCUAACUCUGUGCCAGCAGCCGCGGUAAUACAGAGGGUGCAAGCGUUAAUCGGAAUUACUGGGCGUAAAGCGCGCGUAGGUGGUUGUGUAAGUUGGAUGUGAAAGCCCCGGGCUUAACCUGGGAACUGCAUUCAAAACUGCACGGCUAGAGUACGGGAGAGGGGGGUAGAAUUCCAGGUGUAGCGGUGAAAUGCGUAGAGAUCUGGAGGAAUACCGAUGGCGAAGGCAGCCCCCUGGCCUGAUACUGACACUGAGGUGCGAAAGCAUGGGGAGCAAACAGGAUUAGAUACCCUGGUAGUCCAUGCCGUAAACGAUGUCGACUAGGUGUUGGGGAACUUGAUUCCUUAGUGCCGCAGCUAACGCAUUAAGUCGACCGCCUGGGGAGUACGGCCGCAAGGUUA